This 396-nucleotide unclassified non-coding RNA is filed under the name uncultured Bordetella sp. RNAcentral describes it as "partial 16S-23S ribosomal RNA intergenic spacer". Lineage: Bacteria; Pseudomonadati; Pseudomonadota; Betaproteobacteria; Burkholderiales; Alcaligenaceae. The record is from RNAcentral.
ACAUGGAUCAGCUGUGGAUCAGGGUUUCCCCAUUGUCCAAAAUUCCCCACUGCUGCCUCCGUAGGAGUCAGGCCCGUCAUAUGAUCCAGUGUGGCUGGUCCGUCCUCUCAAACCAGCUACGGAUCGUCGCCUUGAGCGAGCCAUUACCCACCCAGCUAGCUAAUCCGAUAUCGGCCGCUCCUAAUAGUGCGAGGCCCGAAAGGUCCCCCGCUUUCCCCGAAGGGCGGUAUGCCGUGUAUUAGCUACGCUUUCGCGUAGUUAACCCCGCUACUAGGCACGUUCCGAUACAUUACUCACCCGUUCGCCCUCGCCCACCAGACCGAAGUCCGUGCUGCCGUUCGACUUGCAUGUGCUUAAAGCAUCCCGCCAGCGUUCAAUCUGAGCCAGAAUCAAACU